This 451-nucleotide ribosomal RNA is filed under the name uncultured bacterium. RNAcentral's name for it is "bacterial SSU rRNA". It matches the Rfam family "Bacterial small subunit ribosomal RNA", at positions 354 to 796 of the family's 1533-position model. The record is from RNAcentral.
GUGGGGAAUUUUCCGCAAUGGGCGAAAGCCUGACGGAGUGACGCCGCGUGUGGGAUGAAGGCCUUCGGGUCGUAAACCACUGUCAGUGGGAAAGAUGGGUGCCGGCGCGAUAACCGCCGGCAUCUGACGGUACCUGCAGAGGAAGCCCCGGCCAACUCUGUGCCAGCAGCCGCGGUAAGACAGAGGGGGCAAGCGUUGCUCGGAAUUACUGGGCGUAAAGGGCGCGUAGGCGGGAUGGCAAGUCGGUCGUGAAAUCCUUCGGCUCAACCGGAGAACGUCGAUCGAUACUGCCGUCCUUGAGGAUUGCAGAGGAGACUGGAAUUCCCGGUGUAGCGGUGAAAUGUGUAGAGAUCGGGAGGAACACCGGUGGCGAAGGCGGGUCUCUGGGCAAUUCCUGACGCUGAGGCGCGAAAGCGUGGGGAGCAAACGGGAUUAGAAACCCGUGUAGUCC